UACGUAGGGGGCCAGCGUUGCUCGGAAUUACUGGGCGUAAAGGGUUCGUAGGCGGUGCGGCAAGUCGGUAGUGAAAUCUCCAGGCUUAACUUGGAGGCUGCUGCCGAAACUGCCGUGCUAGAGUGCAGGAGAGGCGAGUGGAAUUACAGGUGUAGCGGUGAAAUGCGUAGAUAUCUGUAGGAACACCCGUGGCGAAGGCGGCUCGCUGGACUGCAACUGACGCUGAGGAACGAAAGCUAGGGGAG
RNAcentral lists this ribosomal RNA (245 nucleotides) under uncultured bacterium. RNAcentral describes it as "partial 16S ribosomal RNA". It matches the Rfam family "Bacterial small subunit ribosomal RNA", at positions 524 to 768 of the family's 1533-position model. The record is from RNAcentral.